This 316-nucleotide long non-coding RNA is filed under the name Salvia miltiorrhiza (redroot sage). RNAcentral's name for it is "long non-coding RNA (SMIL_LNC008498)". The record is from RNAcentral. Lineage: Eukaryota; Viridiplantae; Streptophyta; Magnoliopsida; Lamiales; Lamiaceae.
UUUAAAUCAUUGGAGAGUUAGCUUAAGCAUUUAGUUAGAUUUGUGAGAUUUCGUGUUAUUUGUGAGAUUUGUAAUUGGAUUAUUGGGUGGUGAAGAAGAUGAGUGAUUUUUUUUUUCUUUCAUGAAAUGCACUUUAAUUUGUUGGAACAAAUUGCAUGUCUAUGAUUUUUUUUUGGGAUGACAAACAGUGUGAAUAAGAAUAUUUAUACCAAGUGUUGGCGCAACAGACCUUGGGGCGAAUGGUGUAAAUAGGCCAUUUUGUAUCAUUCGUCCAAGGUAUUGUCGCAAUAGAUCUUGAAACGAAUUGUGCGAAUCG